Molecule: ribosomal RNA, 117 nt
Filed under: Danio rerio (zebrafish)
Lineage: Eukaryota; Metazoa; Chordata; Actinopteri; Cypriniformes; Danionidae
Source: RNAcentral
UCCAGCCCCAGCCAUACCACCUUGCAACCCGAGACCGGUUACUCACUUAAGCUAAGCAGGGCUAAGCCUGGUCAGUACCUGGAUGGGACACAUGGGAAAACUAAAUUGUUGUUGGAA